Molecule: ribosomal RNA, 380 nt
Filed under: uncultured eukaryote
Lineage: Eukaryota
Description: partial 18S ribosomal RNA
Rfam family: Eukaryotic small subunit ribosomal RNA
Source: RNAcentral
CAAUAGCGUAUAUUAAAGUUGUUGCGGUUAAAAAGCUCGUAGUUGGAUUUCUGUUGAGAACGUCCGGUCCGCACUAUGUGCGUGUAUCUGGUUCGGUCUUGGCAUCCUCUUGAGGAACGUAUCUGCGCUUGAUUGCGUGGAGCGGUAUUCAAGACUUUUACUUUAAGGAAAUUAGAGUGUUCACGGCAGGCAAGCGCCUUGAAUACGUUAGCAUGGAAUAAUAAUAUAGGAUCUUGGUUCUAUUUUGUUGGUUUCUAGGGCUAAGGUAAUGAUUAAUAGGGAUAAUUGGGGGCAUUUGUAUUAACGCGUCAGAGGUGGAAUUCUUGGAUUGCGUUACGACAAACUACUGCGAAAGCAUUUGCCAAGGAUGUUUUCAUUGA